GGGAUCUUUAUUCAAAACGAACUGAUGUAGCUCCCCUAGGCUUUUAUUCUGCGUUGGCGGGGGUGAUAGAACGGAGACCAGUGAGUGAGCUCAAUCUGAUUUACAAUUCAGGCCUAUAUUGAUCAUUUAUUGGUAAAUAACAAUGCCUUGGUCCCUGUCACAGUCCCUGUAAGGUAAGGACUGGGAAUAUGGAACAAGAUUAUUGUGGAUAAUUCUGUUGCCAUCCAUCUUAGCUGUUGUGGUGGAGAUUGUGGUGAGGAAGGAGACCAGAAGAUGACGACGACAAUGACACAGCAGAAGGGCCGGGUUACACUUGGGCUUCUUUCUUUGAAGUCUGAGAAGACAGUCUGUCAGGCCGAGCUCAUUACACUAAGGUCCAUGUAACCAGUGAAGCGGCCAUUAUACAUGAUUUGGUCUACAGUUGUUGGAAAAGCUCCACAAGGGGAUCUCCUGGAAGCCAUUGCAAUCAGAGCUAGAGUCAAAUCAAGGCCAGCCUGGGCUACGUGGAAGAACCUCAUUUUGGAAAAGUGAAAUGCUUAACAUGCAAUUGGUUCAAUGACUUUUGGAAAGUG
This 572-nucleotide long non-coding RNA is filed under the name Mus pahari (shrew mouse). RNAcentral's name for it is "lncRNA (MGP_PahariEiJ_G0006257.1)". The record is from RNAcentral. Lineage: Eukaryota; Metazoa; Chordata; Mammalia; Rodentia; Muridae.